UACGUAGGUGGCAAGCGUUGUUCGGAAUUACUGGGCGUAAAGCGCGCGUAGGCGGCUCUUCAAGUCAGGCGUGAAAGCCCCGGGCUUAACUCGGGAACUGCGCUUGAUACUGUCGAGCUAGAGUGUGGAAGGGGCGAUUGGAAUUCCGUGUGUAGCGGUGAAAUGCGUAGAUAUACGGAGGAACACCAGAGGCGAAGGCGGAUCGCUGGGCCAACACUGACGCUGAUGUGCGAAAGCUAGGGGAGCGAACAGG
Molecule: ribosomal RNA, 253 nt
Filed under: uncultured bacterium
Lineage: Bacteria
Description: partial 16S ribosomal RNA
Rfam family: Bacterial small subunit ribosomal RNA
Source: RNAcentral